Molecule: ribosomal RNA, 114 nt
Filed under: uncultured bacterium
Lineage: Bacteria
Description: partial 16S ribosomal RNA
Rfam family: Bacterial small subunit ribosomal RNA
Source: RNAcentral
CACCGCCCGUCACGCUAUGGAAGCCGAUAACACCUGAAGUCGCUGAGCUAACCGCAAGGAGGCAGGCGCCGAGGGUGGGAUUGGUAACUGGAGCGAAGUCGUAACAAGGUACCC